Malania oleifera is the source of this 832-nucleotide long non-coding RNA. RefSeq lists it as uncharacterized. The transcript is spliced from 2 exons. Lineage: Eukaryota; Viridiplantae; Streptophyta; Magnoliopsida; Santalales; Ximeniaceae. The record is from RefSeq and is a predicted model, not a curated record.
AUAAUGGGUAGAAAAUAAUUUGCUUGUGAAUUGAGCCAACGAAAUUAACCUUCUCUCUUCCUUAUUCUUCGUGCGCUGUUCUUCAUUUUCUCCUCUUUUUCCAGUCAUUUUCGGGUGCGGAACUGUUGAUAAAAACCUUCUCGGGUCUCCGUUCAAGCCAGCUGGGGAGAGAGGGGCAUUAGCUCCGCUGUGUGUUCCAUUUGCUUGGCUCGGCUUGGCUCAAUCGCAGCCCUGUGCCCAAGCUACAAAUCUGCGAGGAGGCCUUUGAUUUGAUUAGAGGAGGGAGAAAAGGGAAGGAAUGGAGGGGGAAGGAAAGUGAGGGAUUUCAUCAUCAGAGGAGCGUGUCAUCAGUGCGAGAGGAGUUGUUGUCAAUGUCCAGCCUCCAGGCCUCGAAUAGAUCAGCAAUGGCUGCUAAUCCUAGCUUUCUGCACCCUCAGAAUGGCUAAACCAGCGCCAAUUAGCUAAUGCAUCAUUUUGUGUAUAUGGACUGAAAUCAAAUGCAAAAAGAAAGAAAAAUGGCAGAUUCAAUUGCUUAAAAAUGUCCUUAUAAUUUUAGAAUGUAGACUUGGUAAAUGCAUGCAAAAAUGUGAUUUUAAUGAUUUUACCGUUUUGAACUUUUGACACUAGAUCCUAGUAUCCUACAGUGACUCCAGCCCUGAAUGAGAGUGUUUGUAAACAAGGCGGGUGAUCUUAGGAUCAUAAACUCGCAAACUCGUAUGAUUUUAGGUGUUAAACGUACAUUCUUAACAAUAGUGGUUGUUGAAAUUUCUUUUAUAUGAUUUUUAUGUAAUGGAUUGAAAAUAUAUGGAAGACGGAAUGAUUGUUAUUCAAA